This 165-nucleotide ribosomal RNA is filed under the name uncultured bacterium. RNAcentral describes it as "partial 16S ribosomal RNA". It matches the Rfam family "Bacterial small subunit ribosomal RNA", at positions 1336 to 1500 of the family's 1533-position model. The record is from RNAcentral.
UAGUAAUCGCAGAUCAGCAUGCUGUGGUGAAUACGUUCCCGGGCCUUGUACACACCGCCCGUCACACCAUGGGAGUCGGUAACACCCAAAGUUGGUAGUCUAACCGCAAGGAGGACGCCGCCUAAGGUGGGAUUGAUGACUGGGGUGAAGUCGUAACAAGGUAGC